UACGUAGGGGGCUAGCGUUGUCCGGAAUCAUUGGGCGUAAAGAGCGUGUAGGCGGUCCGGUAAGUCCGCUGUGAAAGUCGGGGGCUCAACCCUCGAAUGCCGGUGGAUACUGUCGGGCUAGAGUGCGGAAGAGGCGAGUGGAAUUCCUGGUGUAGCGGUGAAAUGCGCAGAUAUCAGGAGGAACACCUAUUGCGAAGGCAGCUCGCUGGGACGUUACUGACGCUGAGACGCGAAAGCCAGGGGAGCGAACGGG
RNAcentral lists this ribosomal RNA (253 nucleotides) under uncultured bacterium. Its description in RNAcentral is "partial 16S ribosomal RNA". It matches the Rfam family "Bacterial small subunit ribosomal RNA", at positions 524 to 776 of the family's 1533-position model. The record is from RNAcentral.